ACGCUGAUUUUAUUGCGACGCGCGCGGUGCGCAAAAGACCCCUCUACGGCUCCACCAUCUCUCCUUUUCUUGACUUCGGCGCGAAGCUUUUCUUUCCACCCCGCGAUUUCUCCCACUCCGUCGUCUCGAAUUCUCCGACGUUUUUUGUGUAGUAGAAUCGAAACCCCAGAUCUCUAUCUCCUGGUCCUCCGACGACGACUACGAUCUCCAAGCGUUUUUAUGGUCUAGGAACGGGAAAACAUAAUUGGAUCAGAAAUGACUGCUAUUAGUCAAGCGGAAUUCGAUUAUUUGUUCAAGUUGUUGCUGAUCGGCGAUUCUGGGGUGGGGAAGAGCAGUCUUUUAUUGAGUUUUACUACCGAUUCCUUCGAAGAUCUGUCCCCCACGAUUGGUGUUGAUUUUAAGGUAAAGAUGGUUAACAUUGGAGGGAAAAGAUUGAAGCUUGCAAUCUGGGAUACAGCUGGACAAGAGAGAUUCAGAACUUUAACGAGUUCGUAUUAUAGGGGAGCACAGGGGAUUAUAUUGGUUUAUGAUGUUACAAGGAGGGACACAUUCACCAAUCUGAAAGAUGUAUGGGCUAAGGAAAUAGAACUCUAUUCAACCAAUCAAGACUGCAUUAAGAUGCUUGUAGGAAACAAAGUUGAUAAGGAAGGACGAAGGGUUGUGACAAAGAAAGAGGGUAUUGACUUUGCUAGAGAGUAUGGAUGCUUAUUCUUAGAAUGCAGUGCAAAAACUCGAGUUAAUGUAGAAAAAUGCUUUGAGGAGCUUGUCUUGAAGAUCCAUUAAGGUGCUUUUUCUUUAGCAAGGAAGAAGAAUGCGAGAAGAGGAACAAAACAGUGAGAUCUUGGAAACACCAAGCCUCUUGGCUGCAGGUUCAACUGGUGUGAAGAAAAACAUUUUCACGCAGAAACCACCACAAGCUGAUGAAUAUACUAGUACCUGUUGCUGACUGUAGUUUUUGGUGGAAUAUGCCAUAAAUUUCUAAAGGUUAUAAUUUCAUGAUGGUUGGGUGCUAAUAAUGGUGGUGCUCAGUAGUGGCCAUGGUUGUGAUCUAUUCAUUCUCAAUUCAGUUAUUCAUGAAUAUUAAUGCAGCUAAUUUAACAUGCUGGCCCCAAUAGACCAUCUUUCUUCUUUGCCCAACUAUAGCUACUUUGUGGGCUAAACGCUAGCGAUGCUCCUUUUUUUUAUUUUUAUUUUUAACACAAGCAAUUGAUGUUUCUAGUAGCAAUACUAAUAUAUCCUAUCAAUAUCAAGUUAUUGGCCAUGUAUUGGAGAAU
Molecule: RNA transcript, 1274 nt
Organism: Elaeis guineensis (African oil palm)
Lineage: Eukaryota; Viridiplantae; Streptophyta; Magnoliopsida; Arecales; Arecaceae
Gene name: ras-related protein RABC1
Source: RefSeq, a predicted model, not a curated record